GAUGAACGCUGGCGGUCUGCUUAACACAUGCAAGUCGAACGGAAUCCUUCGGCAUUUAGUGGCGGACGGGUGAGUAACGCGUGAGAAUCUGCCUUCAGGUUCGGGACAACAGCUGGAAACGGCUGCUAAUACCGGAUGUGCCGAGAGGUGAAAGCUUUAGUGCCUGAAGAUGAGCUCGCGUCUGAUUAGCUAGUAGGAGUGGUAAUGGCACCCCUAGGCGACGAUCAGUAGCUGGUCUGAGAGGAUGAUCAGCCACACUGGGACUGAGACACGGCCCAGACUCCAACGGGAGGCAGCAGUGGGGAAUUUUCCGCAAUGGGCGCAAGCCUGACGGGGCAAGACCGCGUGAGGGAAGAAGGUCUGUGGAUUGUAAACCUCUUUUGAUGGGGAAGAAGACAGUGACGGUACCCAUCGAAUCAGCCUCGGCUAACUCCGUGCCAGCCGCCGCGGUAA
RNAcentral lists this ribosomal RNA (453 nucleotides) under uncultured bacterium. RNAcentral's name for it is "partial 16S ribosomal RNA". It matches the Rfam family "Bacterial small subunit ribosomal RNA", at positions 28 to 523 of the family's 1533-position model. The record is from RNAcentral.